RNAcentral lists this ribosomal RNA (453 nucleotides) under uncultured prokaryote. RNAcentral describes it as "bacterial SSU rRNA". It matches the Rfam family "Bacterial small subunit ribosomal RNA", at positions 342 to 791 of the family's 1533-position model. The record is from RNAcentral.
CGGGGGGCAGCAGUGGGGAAUAUUGCGCAAUGGGCGAAAGCCUGACGCAGCAACGCCGCGUGAGUGAAGAAGGCCUUCGGGUUGUAAAGCUCUGUCAGAGGGAAAGAAUAUGGCUGGCAACACCAGCCUUUGACGGUACCCUCGAAGGAAGCACUGGCUAACUCCGUGCCAGCAGCCGCGGUAAUACGGAGAGUGCAAGCGUUGUUCGGAAUUAUUGGGCGUAAAGCGCGUGUAGGUGGUUCGACAAGUCUGAUGUGAAAGCCCAGGGCUCAACCCUGGAAGUGCAUUGGAAACUGUCGAACUUGAGUACUGGAGGGGGAAGUGGAAUUCUCGAGUGUAGAGGUGAAAUUCGUAGAUAUUCGGAAGAACAUCAGUGGCGAAGGCGACUUCCUGGACAGAUACUGACACUGAGACGCGAAAGCGUGGGUAGCAAACAGGAUUAGAUACCCGAGU